UGGGGAAUAUUGCACAAUGGGCGCAAGCCUGAUGCAGCCAUGCCGCGUGUGUGAAGAAGGCCUUCGGGUUGUAAAGCACUUUCAGCGAGGAGGAAGGUGGUGAACUUAAUACGUUCAUCAAUUGACGUUACUCGCAGAAGAAGCACCGGCUAACUCCGUGCCAGCAGCCGCGGUAAUACGGAGGGUGCAAGCGUUAAUCGGAAUUACUGGGCGUAAAGCGCACGCAAGGCGGUUUGUUAAGUCAGAUGUGAAAUCCCCGGGCUCAACCUGGGAACUGCAUUUGAAACUGGCAAGCUAGAGUCUCGUAGAGGGGGUAGAAUUCCAGGUGUAGCGGUGAAAUGCGUAGAGAUCUGGAGGAAUACCGGUGGCGAAGGCGGCCCCCUGGACGAAGACUGACGCUCAGGCUGCGAAAGCGUGGGGAGCAAAACAGGAUUAGAUACCCUGGUAGUCCACGCUGUAAACGAUGUCGAUUUUGGAGGUUGUGCCCUUGAGGCGUGGCUUCCGGAGCUAACGCGUUAAAUCGACCGCCUGGGGAGUACGGCCGCAAGGUUAAAACUCAAAUGAAUUGAC
This 570-nucleotide ribosomal RNA is filed under the name uncultured bacterium. Its description in RNAcentral is "partial 16S ribosomal RNA". It matches the Rfam family "Bacterial small subunit ribosomal RNA", at positions 355 to 914 of the family's 1533-position model. The record is from RNAcentral.